Molecule: ribosomal RNA, 332 nt
Filed under: uncultured soil bacterium
Lineage: Bacteria
Description: bacterial SSU rRNA
Rfam family: Bacterial small subunit ribosomal RNA
Source: RNAcentral
AGGAUGAACGCUGGCGGCGUGCUUAACACAUGCAAGUCGAACGCGGAUCGCAAGAUCCGAGUGGCGCACGGGUGAGUAACACGUAGCUAACCUGCCCUCGAGAGCGGGGAUAACGCCCCGAAAGGGGUGCUAAUACCGCAUAAGCUCACGGUCUGUAGAGGACUGACGAGAAAAGGAUUUAUCGCUUGGAGGAGGGGCUGCGGCGCAUCGAGGUAGUGGUGGGUAAUGGACCUACCAGCCAACGACGCGUAGGGGUCUGAGAGGAGUCGGUCCCCACACGUGGGACUAGAGACACGGCCCAGACUCCGUACGGGAGCAGCAGUGAGGAUAGU